Seriola aureovittata is the source of this 2750-nucleotide long non-coding RNA. RefSeq lists it as uncharacterized. Lineage: Eukaryota; Metazoa; Chordata; Actinopteri; Carangiformes; Carangidae. The record is from RefSeq and is a predicted model, not a curated record. The transcript has 5 exons.
GUCCCACUGAAAACAUUUACAGGGCAGAGUCGACUAUUAGGCCUGUAGUUUUAUGCAGAUCUUCAUAAACGGACACAUUCACACUAAUAUGAGUAUCAUAUCAGAGUAGGCUACAUGUGCUUCCCACUGCUUUCUAACUCAGCUUCUACCCUCCCCCUUAUCUCUCCACAGUCCCUUUUGGUGUUGGAUUUUUGUGGUCUGGGAUUGGAACGCUGGUUGGUACUGGAGCUCGCCCCUCAGCUAGCAUUGCAGACACACUUUCUGCCCUUUGAGUUCAGAGCACUGGAGGCCAUGCUGCAGCACAAGACUUAAGAGAGGAGGUGGAGGAGCAACCUAAGGAUAAGCUAGACAUCAGGAGCUCUCACACCAGGGUAUCCAACCGGUGCUGGGGAAUGGCUUUUUAUAGCACAGUCAGGAUGUUUCAUGUCCCCACGAGAAGGACGCGCCACAUGCAAGCGCUACAUCUAUGAAUGUCCUUGACUCACUGACACUCACUUGACAGCCAUGCAGCGAGGACAAUGGAACGAUCGCUGACGACCAUGUAGCCUUGGUAAUCACUGUGCCCACAGCGCUGGCUAUCUUCCAGGCUGUGUUUGUACUUGUCUGCACUGAGUCCAUCUUCAAGAAGCUUCUACGUAUUUCCCUCUGGUCAUCUGGGCCUGCUUGGUUGCCAUGGGUUUCCUUUUUAUGUUUCCUGGUGGGGUCAUCUGUCUGUGGGAUCUGGUGACAAUCAUCAAGCUUACUGACCAUGAAACAAAGGUGAAUGUGGACAUCAGCUUUAAUGUAGAAACUGCUGUGAAAGCAGCACAGUUCAUCAAAAGGUAACUUCAGUGCCCAGCGGCAGUUUGCUCCCCAGGGUCAUAACAAGGCACCGGGUUUCCGGAACCAGCAUCAGUACAACCGUAACACCUGGCGACACAGGAAGAGGGACAAUCUUCCAGCUCUCAACCAGAGUAGAUAAGUGCAAGAUUUGAUAUUACUUGUAUUAGUAGUAAAAGCCUCAUUCAGCCCAUCACGAGUCUUUGAGUUGAGAAGCCGUGAAUUAUUCAUUAUACCUUGUUUUUGUUCUCUCUCAAAAUGCAUCUACAUCGUGCUGGAAUUCGACUGAAUACUCUGGACUGAAGCGAAGCACUACUCUCCUACCUAUGCAGCGCAACACUGACUAGAUGUUUUUGGUGUGACGGCACAAAACGGACCUUGUCUAAAGUGCUUAAACUGUGAUGACUUGUUUGAAUGUACUAAGUGUUUCUUUUUUGUGUGUUGGUCAUUAUCUUUUGUUCUCUUGUUUUUGUCACUUAGAGAUUUGUUUGUUCACAUUGCCACUAUAUUUUUGUACUGUAAACAUUGCCACCUUAUUUUAAGUUUGUUGCAUUAUAUGCAAUAAUGACUUGCUUUUAUUUAAUUUAUUUCACAUUUUAGUUUAAUUUUAGGGGUUCUCCCCACUUAAGGUUUGCUUUUUUGAUUCUAGACUACAUUGAUCUGUGCAAUAGAUGGAUUUAAGGGCCUUGAAGGAAUGUGUUUGUGUGUGAACAGCUUUCCAGCACAAGGGGGAGCUAUGGUAUAAAAACAUGAGAAAUGUGCCAAAAAUCCAAAACAUUGUACCCAUGUUUAAUUUACCAUCAAAUUAUGUUCACUUGAACUUUUGCCAACUGCCUGUCCAAAUGUGUUUCCACCACUAGUUUUUAUUUCAAACAUAUCGCUCUUCACAAUGGUUUGACCUUUAUUUGGGUGGUUUUCCUCUUGAUAGAUCUUAGGCUAUACUGGGGGAAUGCACCUUGAGCAGUGUUUACUCGUGUCAUUUCAAAAAUUAGGUUUCAAUAACAGUUGGUGCUACUUAUUACCAGCAAAGUGCUUGUUUUCUGCCUUAUAUCUCCUUUGAUUCUGUUAAAGCAAUACCAUUACAGGAGUUUUGGUACAGCCAAUAACAAAACCAAACUCUGGUGAAGUGUGUGUUUCAUUAGUCUUAGAUUAUUGUAACAUCCUGGGUACCAAACUCAAGAGGUUGUUACAUCUAUUUUGCCAUAAAUAAAAUCCCCAGCUCAUAUCUGUGGAUGGGUUGUAACAUGUAAAUGACUGACAUAUAGAUGGUUGUUUUUUAUGCAAGUUUUUCUUCUUUUUUUUUUACAUUUUAAAACUCAUUUUCAUUUUAGUGUGUAAAUUUGAGUGUGUUUGUGAUGUGUUAUGUUUGCUUUUGUGCUGGUCAGCAUGGAUUAAUGAGAUUUAACUGCUGGAUAUUCUUUAAUCAGCUUUCUACAGCAUCUGUCUGUAUCUGUUUGUAUAGUGCUAGAUACGGUCUUUAGAUACAGAAUGUCAAUGCAAAGCACAAGUAAUCCUAUUGGUACACACUUUAUUUGGUUAUUGAUUAUAGGGUUUCCAGUCGGUUGUCUCUUACUGCUAUGCGCAGCAAUAAGUCCUGCAGCAGUAGCAUGUUGGCUAGCUGCUUUGUCGGAGCACCUCAUACAUACUGUCAUGUUCAACAUAUUCACAGACACUGUGGAGCACAGGCCAUUAUUCAUCUGUUGUGUUGUAAUUCCUCAUGGUUUCUGAUGGGGGCACUGGUGGAUCUUUGCUUGGCUUAACUGUAUCUAAUCCAUUACCUUUCAGAUUGUCUGCAGGGAGGCAGAACAUGACGGAGGAGAAGACUUGGAAGAAAAUCCCUCCUCUGAAGGUGCAAUCAUUGGAGAGUUAGUGGCUGGAACCGUUGUCAUUUUGUUCCAAUUAAAACCAAGACGAAAGUGUCAUCACUGAGA